RNAcentral lists this ribosomal RNA (1162 nucleotides) under Stenomitos sp. WJT36-NPBG4. RNAcentral's name for it is "bacterial SSU rRNA". It matches the Rfam family "Bacterial small subunit ribosomal RNA", at positions 356 to 1531 of the family's 1533-position model. The record is from RNAcentral. Lineage: Bacteria; Bacillati; Cyanobacteriota; Cyanophyceae; Leptolyngbyales; Leptolyngbyaceae.
GGGGGAUUUUCCGCAAUGGGCGAAAGCCUGACGGAGCAAUACCGCGUGAGGGAGGAAGGCUCUUGGGUCGUAAACCUCUUUUAUCAGGGAAGAACACAAUGACGGUACCUGAUGAAUCAGCAUCGGCUAACUCCGUGCCAGCAGCCGCGGUAAUACGGAGGAUGCAAGCGUUAUCCGGAAUUAUUGGGCGUAAAGCGUUCGCAGGUGGUUUUGAAAGUUUGCUGUCAAAGCGCGAGGCUCAACUUCGUAUCGGCGGUGAAAACUUCAAGACUAGAGCUAGGUAGGGGUCACGGGAAUUCCCAGUGUAGCGGUGAAAUGCGUAGAUAUUGGGAAGAACACCAGCGGCGAAAGCGCGUGACUGGGCCUGAGCUGACACUCAUGGACGAAAGCUAGGGGAGCGAAAGGGAUUAGAUACCCCUGUAGUCCUAGCCGUAAACGAUGACAACUAGGUGUUGCCCGUAUCGACCCGGGCAGUGCCGUAGCCAACGCGUUAAGUUGUCCGCCUGGGGAGUACGCACGCAAGUGUGAAACUCAAAGGAAUUGACGGGGGCCCGCACAAGCGGUGGAGUAUGUGGUUUAAUUCGAUGCAACGCGAAGAACCUUACCAAGGCUUGACAUGUCGCGAAUCUCUGUGAAAGUAGAGAGUGCCUUCGGGAGCGCGAACACAGGUGGUGCAUGGCUGUCGUCAGCUCGUGUCGUGAGAUGUUGGGUUAAGUCCCGCAACGAGCGCAACCCUCGUUUCUAGUUGCCAUCAUUGAGUUGGGCACUUUAGAGAGACUGCCGGUGACAAACCGGAGGAAGGUGGGGAUGACGUCAAGUCAGCAUGCCCCUUACGCCUUGGGCUACACACGUACUACAAUGCUACGGACAAAGAGCCGCAAGUUCGCGAGGACAAGCAAAUCUCAUGAACCGUGGCUCAGUUCAGAUUGCAGGCUGCAACUCGCCUGCAUGAAGGCGGAAUCGCUAGUAAUCGCAGGUCAGCAUACUGCGGUGAAUACGUUCCCGGGCCUUGUACACACCGCCCGUCACACCAUGGGAGUUGGCCACGCCCGAAGUCGUUACUCCAACCGUUCGCGGAGGAGGAUGCCGAAGGCAGGGCUGAUGACUGGGGUGAAGUCGUAACAAGGUAGCCGUACCGGAAGGUGUGGCUGGAUCACCUCCU